GUGCCUUGAAAGUUAUAUUGCCAUCGGUGUGGACUUGCUCUUCAUCCACUUUAUCAGAUCUAUCUGGUCUUUUCUUCAAUAAGGUUUCCAUUUUCUCCUAGUCACGGUUACAUUAAGUACUGAGAAGAAAGUACCUGUUCAACACCACCACCACAGAAGACCUGGCACUACGCACUGGAGCGUUCCCUUCAACAGGAUAGAGUCUGGACAUGGAGGAAAUGUAAUGGAGAAGACCAAGGGAGACAGAAAAAGUUUAUUUUCGAACGUGUCAACACACUUCUGAAAAGGUUACACAUAUGAACUAAGACCAGCAAGCAGUCUGAGAAGUAGAAGCAGGUUUGGGUUCUGGAGAACCACAAUAAAGAGGUUUUCAGGGGAAUGACCGAAGUCACAAAGCAAGACAGACUGAGUCAGGAUGAAAUCUGAAACAGACACCAGCAACAAACAGUUUACUGCUGUUGUUCAGUUGCCAAGUGGGUGUUUCGAUUAAAAUAGGAGAUCCGCCAAGAUCUGUUUAUAUGAACCUAUGGGAGGAGAGCUCUGAAGUGGAAAUGGCCCCUGUUCGCCUAAGACUGUUGCUAUUAUUUUUGCCAAGAGACUAUUGACUUCAAACUCUGUGAUUGAAAGACUACCACGAAUUCAAGGUAUUACAGACAACAAGCAGAACUUGCACGGCUGGCAUGUGUUCUAUACUCCUUGCCUCAUUGAAAAGUGCCCUAGAGUCUUUUUUAUUGCUGGCAUCAUGGCUAAACAUCCCAAGAAAGUCAGAACUGAUGGUAGAUACGGAACUCAUCUAUGGUGCAUCGCUCAGAAAAAAUUAUGAAGAAAACUGAAACUAGCAGCAUACCAAAUAUUCUUACUCCUUCUGCUGUAAGACCAAUAAAGAAAUGAACCAUGGGGAACUUGCAUUGUGGAUCCUGUAUGGAAAA
Molecule: non-coding RNA, 929 nt
Organism: Phascolarctos cinereus (koala)
Lineage: Eukaryota; Metazoa; Chordata; Mammalia; Diprotodontia; Phascolarctidae
Source: RefSeq, a predicted model, not a curated record